Molecule: ribosomal RNA, 473 nt
Filed under: uncultured soil bacterium
Lineage: Bacteria
Description: bacterial SSU rRNA
Rfam family: Bacterial small subunit ribosomal RNA
Source: RNAcentral
AGGACGAACGCUGGCGGCGCGCUUAACACAUGCAAGUCGAACGUGAAGCCCGGGCUUGCCCGGGUGGAAAGUGGCGAACGGGUGCGUAACACGUGAGGAACGUGCCCCGAAGACCGGGAUAACUCGAGGAAACUCGUGCUAAUACCGGAUGUCCUCACCGGAUCGCAUGGUCUGGUGAGGAAAUGGAUUCCGCUUCGGGAUCGCCUCGCGGCCUAUCAGCUUGUUGGUGGGUAACGCCCACAAGGCAACGACGGGUAGCUGGUCUGAGAGGAUGUCCAGCCACACUGGGACUGAGACACGGCCCAGACUCCUACGGGAGGCAGCAGUGGGAAUCUUGCACAAUGGGCGAAAGCCUGAUGCAGCGACGCCGCGUGCGGAUGAACGGCCCUCGGGUCGUAAACCGCUUUCAGCGAGGACGAUAGUGACGUACCUGACAGAACGAACGCCCCGGACCAACGUACGUGCCAGCGACG